GGCGGUGUAGCUCAGAUGGCUAGAGCGUCCGGUUCAUACCCGGGAGGUCGUGGGUUCGAUCCCCUCCGCCGCUA
RNAcentral lists this transfer RNA (74 nucleotides) under Desemzia incerta. RNAcentral's name for it is "tRNA-Met". It matches the Rfam family "tRNA". Rfam says of the family: Transfer RNA (tRNA) molecules are approximately 80 nucleotides in length. Their secondary structure includes four short double-helical elements and three loops (D, anti-codon, and T loops). Lineage: Bacteria; Bacillati; Bacillota; Bacilli; Lactobacillales; Carnobacteriaceae. The record is from RNAcentral. RNAcentral also lists the same sequence under 1 other name.